RNAcentral lists this ribosomal RNA (494 nucleotides) under uncultured bacterium. Its description in RNAcentral is "partial 16S ribosomal RNA". It matches the Rfam family "Bacterial small subunit ribosomal RNA", at positions 28 to 507 of the family's 1533-position model. The record is from RNAcentral.
GACGAACGCUGGCGGCGUGCUUAACACAUGCAAGUCGAACGGUGAAGCGCCUUCCUUUUUGGUGGGUGUGGAUGAGUGGCGAACGGGUGAGUAACACGUGGGUAACCUGCCCCCUUCUUCUGGAUAACCGCAUGAAAGUGUGGCUAAUACGGGAUAUUCUGGGUCUGUCGCAUGAUGGGUCUGGGAAAGAUAUUGUUUCGGUGGGGGAUGGGCUCGCGGCCUAUCAGCUUGUUGGUGGGGUGAUGGCCUACCAAGGCGGUGACGGGUAGCCGGCCUGAGAGGGUGGACGGUCACACUGGGACUGAGACACGGCCCAGACUCCUACGGGAGGCAGCAGUGGGGAAUAUUGCACAAUGGGCGCAAGCCUGAUGCAGCGACGCCGCGUGAGGGAUGGAGGCCCUCGGGUUGUGAACCUCUUUCGCCAGUGAAGCAGGCCUGCCUCGUUUGUGGGUGGGUUGACGGUAGCUGGAUAAGAAGCGCCGGCUAACUACGUG